UACAGAGGGUGCAAGCGUUGUUCGGAAUUAUUGGGCGUAAAGCGCGUGUAGGCGGCUUUGCAAGUCGGGUGUGAAAGCCCUCAGCUCAACUGAGGAAGUGCGCCCGAAACUGCAGAGCUUGAGUGCCGGAGAGGGUGGCGGAAUUCCCCAAGUAGAGGUGAAAUUCGUAGAUAUGGGGAGGAACACCGGUGGCGAAGGCGGCCACCUGGACGGUAACUGACGCUGAGACGCGAAAGCAUGGGGAGCAAACAGG
RNAcentral lists this ribosomal RNA (253 nucleotides) under uncultured bacterium. RNAcentral's name for it is "partial 16S ribosomal RNA". It matches the Rfam family "Bacterial small subunit ribosomal RNA", at positions 524 to 776 of the family's 1533-position model. The record is from RNAcentral.